GUUUAACUUUAAUUUGGGAGUUGUCAUGGACUUUGCAUACAUUACCAUGACAAAAAGCCUCGUCGUCCUAUGUUUUAAUGGAAUUGCAAUAGUGGAAAUCAAUUAAUCUUCCACAAAGAUCCAGCUUCGAGCGAAGGUGACAGCGGUGGUUUUUGACGUUUACUCGGUACAGUACACUGUAUGAUGACAAUCUUGGUUGUCUUCGUGGAUCGUUUUGUAUCAGUCAACAUCUACAUUUUUGCAGCUAUCGCGCAUUGGAAUUUUAGUGGAUACCAUCAUCUUC
Non-coding RNA from Lolium perenne, 283 nucleotides. The record is from RefSeq and is a predicted model, not a curated record. Lineage: Eukaryota; Viridiplantae; Streptophyta; Magnoliopsida; Poales; Poaceae.